UAGUCUCUAAGGUGCCACAAGUACUCCUUUUCUUUUUAGUUAUGAUGAAAUUCUAUGGUCUGUUAUACAGUAGGUCAGAGUAGAUGAUCUUAUAGUCACUUCUGGCCCUAACAUCAAGGAAUCUAGUGCUUUUUGCACUAAGAUUGUGUGUACUUUGAAAUCCAACUGAAGUACAUGGGAACUGAAGUUAUUCAAUCUUUCUACAGUUGGUUAGUGUUUUCUUUACAUCCAUAACAACUCCUCUUGAGGUUAAAUAGAAUCCUCCCCAGACAAAGUUAAAGGGAAAUAUAUUCUUUGUCAAAACCUCUCCAAUAUAAAAGCAGAAGGUUAAAAAUUGUGCAGAGCAGCUUGUAUUUUCAGACUAAUAUUUAAAUUACCUACUUUUGCUAUUUGUGUGUGUGUGUAUAUAUAUAUAUAUAUAUAUAUAUAUAUAUAUAUAUAUAAUUUCUGUAUUAAGAGCCAAUCACUCAUUCAUCAUUCAAUGAACUUUUUCAAUUAUUUUAGUUUUCUGGAGUAUCAAUCAUUAUUUAGUAAAUCUCUGAUUUGUAAAAGUGGGUAAGUACAUCUGAAAUGUACUUACAGAGGAAUAAAUAAUUAUGGUCCAACUUUUUUUUUACCAAAGUCAGAGUUGUAUCUUUUUCUAAUGAAAGGCCUCACUGGAAUAAGGGUCUGCUUAGCGUGUCCCACUGAAGUCAAACCAGAAGUGAAAACCAUAUUCCAGAAGAGGACAUACCAUUAACUUAUAGCAUUCAUUUUUCCCCAGUAUUAUUUUCCAUUACUUAUGCAUUCUAACACUUUAGUUGUACCAUUUUUCACACUUUGUUUUGGCAAGGUUUUGACUGAGGUUAGUGCUAUUUAAUUGUAUCAAGCAAGUGUAAUGGUUUUCCUUGGUGAAAGAUGUAAGUUGAAGACAAAGGCUUUUUUAUAGUAGUUGCCAAUAACAGACGAUUUCACAAGUCUGCAUCAAAUUCCUUUAGGCUUCUGAAAGAAAGCAAAUAUCUUUCUAUAUAUUUGCCUGCAGGCAUCAAUACAGGUUUGGGGGGAGGGAGGUUCAUUUUUUUUCUCUCUGAGGUUUACAGAUAAUCUGUACGUGACUAGUAUGUAGGAACAUCAGUUGGCAGAAACCUGUGUGCAUCUGUGAAAAUGUUAGUGUCUGUUUCUGAAAUUUACAUUUCAAGGAGUGCUGAUCUAUAUGGAUUAGUGAUGCAUAAAUCUACCUGAUUUGUGAGCAAAGUCUUCAUCCAUUUCUGUUCAGCAGUUCUGGGAAAAACAGCUAAGGGAAUUAAUUCAAUGAACUCCUUACAAUUUACUAAUAGCAGGAGAAAUAUAUUAUGCAUAGUUGAACUUUGUUGAUCAACUUUUUUCAUUUACCUAAACCCCUCUGAAGUUUGGAUUUGGGAAUCCAUUUUAAAAGAUCCAGUUUAACCUUUGCAUUACAGCCUUUUCUGCCCAGUGAAUACUGAAGCGAAGAUUGCAACCAUAAGUUCAAUUACAGACCCCAUUUCAGUCUCUGAAACAGUCUCCUGCAGGGCUGAAAUUUUCCAUACAUGGUCUCAGUUGACAGGUGACUUUUCCCCCAUAUGUAUAAUAGAAAAUUCAUGCAGCCGUCUUUUAGCUACAUGAAACUAAACAUAAUAAUUUUCCCUGAUAAGGUAAUAUAAUUUUUUUAAUAUACACAAUUCAAAAAUGGUUGAAUGUUGAAACCUGCUAAUUAAAUAAUACUCAUUGAGGAGUAUAUGCACCAUCAAGGUGGAGAAACUAUUAUCCAAGGAAUUUUUGAAGGUCAGGAGGGACAAAUAUCACUCCUGUUUCCCCCUCUUCUCCCCCUCUCCCUCCCCCCCCAACUUUUGGGUCAUCCAAAUGCUCAUUCUUCUGACAUGGCCUGCCAGCCAGAGGAACUGCUUCAGAGACCAUUUUCACAAGGGAGAUUGGUUUGGAAGAUUGUGUGGAGAUUGUUUUAAGCCCUGCCACUAACAUCAGAAACAAAAAUACUGUAUUGCAAAGACUGAGGAUUUCAGAAGCUCUAUAGCAUUCUGCAACAUCCUGUACAUUUUAAGUUUUCACUUUAAAUAUAGUUUCCCUCCUUUUUCAGUUGGCAAGAUGCAGCUGUCAAAAUAUAGACAGCUGUGCUGUUGCCUUUUUUAAACGCAGCCUUGCAGAGAACGGUCAACCAAACAGCAACAGCCACACCAGUGUGAAUUCUUUUUGCCUUGUCCCCAUCUGUACCCCCAUUCACCUCAAAUGAAAGAUUUUACUUUCCAGCCUAACACUGAAAGGUCCCAAUAUUAUUCAGCUAAGGCGCACUUGGUCUCUCACACACAGUAAUAAUUUUCCAAUUGAUUUUCAUUAUUAUUAUGGGCUGGAUAGUGUCCUCCUGUGGUACAACCCACUCACUGAUAGCAUGGCUUUGAUGGAGCCACACAAGUGGGCUUCCCCCAUCAUCUCCCUUAAGAUUCCCAGCAUAGAAAGGCUCUCUGUGGAAAUCUCUAGGAUUUCCAUGUGAAUCUUCAGACACCCAAAUCCUAGAGGACGCAUAUCAUGUCACCCUCCCAUCCCCACAAAAUACUACCCAUCUUUCCGCUUCCCACCCCAACGUGGAUCCCAAACCCAUGCAGCUCCCAAAACAGGGUCCUGGGAAAUGGUUACAAUUAGGCUGAACCAUCCUUGCAAAUGAAGGAGGGAGGAACAUUCACAUAUUUCAGGGGCAUGCACAAACAAAGAAAAAAUGCAAAGAUUAAGAAGGUUCCCACAGCAGCCUUAACUCAUCAUUGCCCCCUUCCCCUGACCAUCAUCACCACUCCACAGGAUCUUUUCCACUUGAUGCAUAAAAGUUGGAGUAGCAUCAUGAUGCUCCAUUGUAUCUUGUUCAAAAUACUGUAUCUGCUUUGCCUGUCUAUUCCAGUUAACAAACUCAGAAAAACCACAUAUGGCUUACAUGUUUCUGCUGUGAGAGGCACAGACUAAAAGAUGAACUGAUUUGGGUGGGGGCAGGGACUGCCUGUAGUCUAGCCUUCAAAACAAUAAUUCAACUAUUUUACAAAAUGUGUUACGGUCAUGGAUGAAACAUAAGGCUGGACGUGACCUCGCAAAAGCAUCAAGUCCAGGCCCCUGUGUAACGCCAACAGACCCCAGUCGUCGGCGAGCGGGCUCAAACUGGGGACUUCUGGUGCUUAGAGCAUGAGUCUCUACAGCAUGAGCUAAAAGACAGCUGCCUGUUAUCUGAGGCUGUAGAGCAGACUCAUUUUUCUCUCUCUCUCCCAGUGGUCUUGGUGCCACUAGAUGAGUCAGAACACCACACCCAAGAGGUAUGUGGGUUACACCUGCACUGUGGCAAGAUCAAGUAAACCUCCACCAUCCCUGACAGAUAUUUGACCAACAUGUUUUUUUAAAAAAUCUUCCAGUGAUGGUGAGUCCACAGCUGCCCUUGGAGGUUAACUACCCUUUUAGUUAGAAAUGUUUUCCUAAAAAUCUAGAUGCAGGCACAGAGAGUCCAGCCUUUACUCAAUUACACUUUAAAAAUAUAACAAAAGAGAAACUGUAAGCCAAACACUGAGAAUUUUUAAAAAUAUGACUAGUGUGCAGGGAACUAGACCUUUAAAUUAUGAAGAUGAAGUUUAGAUUUUUUUCCUGCAGUUGUAAAGUUGAUCCCUGAGUCCAAGAGUUUGCAUUGCAACAGGGGGGGGAAAAUGCAGACACAUUGGAAUUAAAAUCAGUCGUAACUAGCCUAGUAAAUCAAUCACUACCAAUAGUUAAUGACCAAUGUUUGUUUCUGGCCAAAUACUUUGCCCCUUGGUUAGCUGGGCUUUUAUUGCAAGUGACAUUAAAUUUCAGUUACUAUUUCAUAAACCAAAUGCCAAUGUAAUCUUAAGUAGAGGCUAAAAAUGUGUCUGCACUAGCCUAUAGUGGUUGCGCUGGGCGUUGUUAAUUUCUUCGAGUUUAAUGUCUUGGGACCCAACUCAUCACAAUUCCUGAAAAAUUAAUGGAAAGAAAGAAAAGAGUUGGAUUCAGGACUACGAAUUUCAUGCUAGUGCCUUACUUAAAUCUUCUGUGAUUGCUGUCACUAAUAUACCAUACAGAUAAAAAUAGCACAUUGUAUUAUGAACAUACUGUACAUAUUCCUUUAAGCUCAUGUCAUGUCAAAUUUAUAAUAUCUAGUAAAAUAACAGCUGUGUAGCAAAUAUCAUUUAGUACAUUUUUGUGUUAUACUUUUGAUGUGUUUGACUUGCACUUUUAUCCUGUAUGUCCUUUUAUUCUUAGUAUAAAUAAUGCCCACCAGCUUUCUGAAGGGAAAAAAAAGUCUUACCGCACGCUCUUUAGCAGAAAUGCAGACGUGUUUGUGGCAGAAGAGAAUGAACAGUUUUUCUUAGAGGCAGUUCAAAUGUUGCAACAAUGGAGCAGAAGGACAUGAAACAUGCUGGGAUUAAACGGCAGGAAUUGCGAUGGCAAUGAAGUUGGUUCCCAAAGCCGUCUCUUUAGUCAUGGAUUGAAAGUAGUUUCAGAAUAGAAAUUGCCUCAUUUUUCUUUCUCUACUCAGAAAUACAGCUACGUAAUCAAGUAUUUUUGUCCUGCACAGGAAUAUAUUGCUGUAAACUUUUCGUGAAGCAUAGAUCACCGGCUUGAAAUGAAAUAGGAAGGGUGCGAGGGAAGCACAGUGACCUUAGACCACUAGCCUGGAGCAACGUGCUCUAAGUCUGUGUCAGGCAAAAAAUCUGAGUUGCGUGAGCUGAGAAGUAAAACAUCUUCAGACUGAAGUGUUUCUUUUUAUCCCUUCUGAAAAACCAUGUCCUGUAAACACUAAAAUGCCCUCUUUCAUAUAUAUCUAUAUAUAUCAGGGGGUAGCCGUGUUAGUCUGAAUCCACAAAAACAACAAGGAGUCUGGUGGCACCUUAAAGAUGAACACAUUGAUUUGGGCAUAAGCUUUUGUGGGCUAGAAUCCACUUCAUCGGAUGCAUGGAGUGAAAAUUACAGAUGCAGGCAUUAUUGUACUGACACAUGAAGAGAAGGGAGUUACCUCACAAGACGAGAACCAGUGUUGACAGGGCCAAUUCAGUCAGGGUGAAUGUAGUCCACUCCCAAUAAUACACACACACAAGGACAAGGUGCAUUAAUGCAACACAAGGCUAGUCACACACACACAGAGAAUAUUACAAAGUGACGGGGGGUGAAUUUUUGCCUUGAUUGGUUCGUAAGACAAGUGAAAAAAUAUUGAAGAUUCAAAAAAGGUAUGCUAUAGCUGUGCAAAAAAAAUCAUCUCGCACCGUUUGGAAAAUACCCUGCUCCAAUACAAAACAAGAUUGUAUCCAAAGCUCUGCCCUAAAAUGAUAUCCUAUUGAGGGUGUACUGUAGCAUGGGCAGCUAUUGGAAUGUUUGGAAUGUAAUUUACUGUUACAUUCACAUAACUCAGUCAUUCCAGGACCAUGUGCCAGUGAUUUCCUCAUGAGCGAACACCUUUCAUUCCCUCCUGAUGAAUCUUUCCUAGUGUGACAUUCUAUAGCUUGGGGGAGCCAUCCUGGAACCCCCAUAGUCCUCAUUUUUGUAUAAUCGUGGUCUUACAUAUAAAGUAUGCCUUGUAAGGUAUCAGGGGAAAGGUUAUGAUCUGCUGAAAGCCAUUGUUCUAUCUAAAUAUGUGUAUCAUCAACGCAUACGAAGUUAUGAGAAUUGCGUUGUAUGGUUGUCACUAAAAUAUGCUGUGGGCUUGGGCGGCACCCAGCUACUGACUCUACAGCAACAAUGACAAAGGAGGUAACCAACAUCCGGGUGGGUGCUGGUGAACAGAAAUCACCAGCCAUUGUCCCGCAAGGGAGCUACAAUUCAAUGACUCACCUGUAUGAGGCCACACCAAGGGAAUUGCUCAACCUUGCUUAGGGACUCAGCAAUGCCCCCAGACAUGCCUGGACUUGCAUUCUCCAAGCACAUGGGACAGAGGGUGUGAAAGAGACCACAGGGGCCCCAUGCUUGGCCCUUCUCCUGCCACCACCUACGCUACAAGCAACCAAGACACUGAGACGAAGACAAGACUCCAACAGACAAGACUCCAAGUUUAAGGUACAAAGCUGUUUUUUAAGGACUGCAAUAUCCAGUGGGGUGAGAAAAACUGCUUAAUCUUGUUGCUGCCCAAUCUAUUAGGAUUGAGACUGUGCGCUUAUAUUUUAUUUCUUAGGCAAAAAGUCAGUUAGUUACCAAUCACUUAAAAUCUACCUUUUAUAGUCAAUAAAUUUGUUUAUCUUUACCAGCAAGUUUGUAUGAAGUGUGGGGCAAAUCUGCUCAGGUUUGACAAAGGCUGGUGUAUGUCCACGUUCCAUUGUUGAAGUGGUGAGCCAAUUAAUAAAUUUGCACUGCCCAUCUUGAGCUAUGCAAGAUGGUAUAUUCCUGAGGUACAGUGCUGGGAGCUGGGGAGAUUUGGCUCUGGUGUCUUUCCCUGUGUGCGUAAUGAGCGGCUCUGGGAGCAUUCAUGCAAUCUAGCUGGGUGUGGGACUCCACAUGCAGUUGUGCUGAGUGAUCCCAGCGCCUGGAGGGGCUUGCUGCUGGUCACGAGCAAGGGAUUGUGAGAGACAGCCCAGGCUGAAGAGAGUUAAGGGGGCACAGCGGUCCCUCAGUCUCAGGCUGCACCCCAGGGGGAAUCCCAUCACAAUGGUGCAGAGAGCAGCGUGAAACACACAGCUUGUUGUGCUGAGCAAGAUUUGCACUUCAUACACUGGUGUAAAGAUUUUAAGUGAGGCUUUAAGUGUGGUGUCUAAGGACAGUCAGGAGGAGGCUUUUGGUUUGUUAUUUUCUGUUUGCUUAUUUCGGGAAAGGGCAGUAGGAACAGAAAAGCAGGAAAAUGACUGGAAGCAGUGGCGAUUGCAAAGUUGGAGCUUUUGAGGCUGCAAGUUGCAGAAAAGGAGAGAGAACACCAGAGACUAUUGCAAGUGAAAGAACUGGAGAUAAAGGAGAAGCGGGGAGAAAGAGAGCGAAAACACAAACUGGACCUGCCAGAGAAGCAGAACUAGAACCCACCAACCUCAGCAAUUCUCAUCGUGCCAAAAAUUCACACUUGGGACCAUUUAUAUCCUGCAUACAAGGAGACAGAUGAUAUUGCUGAACAUCUGACUACCUUUGAAAGGCUGUGUGCAGUGUAUGAGAACCCUGAUGCCAAGAGAGUUCCUACCCUGAUUAUAAAAUAAACUGAUGGAGGGUUUCAAAAGCACCUCUGUGACUUCGAAAAUCCCACCCUCUGCUUCCAGGGCAUGUGAAGUGUGGCACAAAAGGAUUAGAGAUGGGGGACUGUCUGAGACUGAAGUAUCCAGGAGGUGAUGCAACAAAACGAUAAACUAAACACAACAAGUCACCAAAUUAUAUUCAUCCAAGCGUUCUGAAGGCAUUUAAGUGUAUAAGACCUGAUCCAAAGCCGUCAGAAGGCAAUAGGAAGGCUCCCACUGACUUCAGUUGUGUUUGGCUCGGGCCAGAAGUGUGGAAUGGUCAAAUCAAAUGUUUACGGCUAUUAUUUGUGACGUUUGGUAUAAAUUAUUUUGUUGACAACAGGUAGCUACUUUGUUAAUAAGAAAUUUUAAUGACUCUGGGAGAUCAUUGUAUUUUGCUAUUCAUUCACCGAGGAAACAUUUCCACAUAAUUUUGUACAAAGGAGUGGUUAUGCCCUUAUGUAAAUAGCUUGCAAUGUGGCACCAAUUUGGCAUUAAGCACCAAAUUACUAAUCUCUUGGAAGGCUUAUUCUAAAUUCAGUACAUGUGCACUUUCUUGAUAAACACUCUCAAUCAUUAUUCCCAAAAGAAUGUAAAUUCUAUUACCUUUGCCUGUAAGUGCUGGUACUUAAAAAUGCUUGUGCAAAUGUUUGUGUGUGCAUUUACUGAGUCAAAUAUUUAACCCAUGGGGUUGGAAGAAGAGACUCUGAAAUUAUAUCUGGAAUUACAAGUGUGUAUCAGGAGCACUUCUUUUGUCUCCCCUGAAUGGGGGAAGUCUUAAGAAUUGUGAUCAAAGUUCAGCUGAACAGAGGGAAGCUAUUGUACCUCUGUAGGCUUUUCAUAUAUAUAUAUAUAUAUAUAUUUCAAAUGCAUAUUUGUGUGUGUGUGUGUGUGUUAGUGUUUCACUAUAUGUAGUAGUGUUCCUCUAAAUGUUCAAACUCUUCAUAAGGAUUCUCUCAUUCAGAUCACCUUUCAGUUUUCAAUUUACUUUAUUAAAAAUCUCAGUAAAUCAUCAUAUUGCCAACUUCUUUAACUGAAACUCAUUAAAAUAUCAGAAGAUAAUUUAUCUGUCACAUCUUAUAUAUUGCUUUUCAUAUAUCAAUUUGUCAUUUUUCUGCCUUCAUUCUCCUUUUGUAGAAACUAAGGAAUUCUUAUUUUAUUUCAAAUUUGUAUUAAUGAGGACCUCGGUGUAUAUUUUAACUGUUUUAACUCAUCCAAAAGCUUAAAUUAACUAAGUUAAAAUGUGCCCAGUUUUUUUUUACCUUUUUCAUUUGAUGAAUUAUCUUGUCUACACUGUGUUAAAUCUUUUUAAUAAUCUUUGUUGUAAUGGCAACGGUAGUAAUGAAAUGCAUCUUGUCAAAUUUUUACAUAAAUAUUUUUAUGUAUUGUAUUUUUGUGUGAUAUGAAACUCUUCAUAAAAAGGGGUAAGCUUAAGCCUCUCCUACACUAGCAAAAUUUCUCAAAAAAAUUUCAAGAAUCAUAGGAUUGGAAAGGACCUCAGGAGGUCUUCUGGUCCAGUCCCCUGCACUCAAGGCAGGACUAAGUAUUAUCUAGACCAUCCCGACAGGUGUUUGUUUAACCUGCUCUUAAAAAUCUGCAGUAACAGAGAUUCUGCAACCUCCCUAGGCAAUUUAUUCCAGUGCUUUUAACAACCCUCAUGGGAAGUUUUUCCUGAUGUCCAACCUAAAUCACCCUUGCUGCAAUUUAAGCCCUCUGUUUUUUAUCCUAUUCUCAGAGGUUAAUGAGAACAUUUUUUUAAACAACCUUUUAUGUACAGAAAACUGUUAUCAUGUCCCCCCAUAGUCUUCUCUUCUCCAGACUAAACAAAUCCAAUUUUUUCAAUCUUUCCUCAAAAGUCAUGUUUUCUAGCACUUUAAUCAUUUUUGUUGCUCUUCACUGGACUUUCUCCAAUUUGUCCACAUCUUUCCUGAAAUGUGGCACCCAGAACUGGACACAAUACUCCAGUUGAGGCCUAAUCAGAACAGAGUAGAGCAGAAGAAUUCAUUCUUGUGGCUUGCUUGCUAAUACAUUCCAGAACACUUGCUUUCUUUGCAACAGUGUUACACUGUUGACUCAUAUUUAGCUUGUGAGCCAUUGUGACCCCAGAUCCAUUUCACAGGGGUGUGGUGAGGGUAAAUAUAUUAAAGAUUGUGAGGUGCUCAGAUACAUACCAAACCUAACAUUAGACAGAUAAGCAGCUGCCAGUGUUUUAAGCACUGUGUCAUCUAAUCCUGCUCAGAAUAGGUCUGACCAACUUGGUCCUUAAAAUGCCAUUGGCAGCUCGCAGCCUGUCCACAUUAAGGCCCAGAUUCUCAUUUUCACUAAAGCUUCUUUAUACCACUCUGGCAGCAUAAGUAGUAAAUUACCCUGGGAGGUGGGAGGUUUCCAGAGCCCGAAUGUCUACACCACAACGAAAUAGCCCCCUUGACUGGACACUGGUUAUAGCAGAAUCCGUUUGAGAGGUUCCUUUAUGCAUCUGCUCUGCAACAGAAAAGGAGGUGCAUCUGACCAAGUGCAUCUGACCUAGCCUGUGCUUCCUAUUGAGCAUAAUAAAAGCCAUGUGACUCUGAAACAGGGAUGUCCUCAGGCAAGAGUGUAGCGGAACAGCCAACGGGCUGAUUGUAGGACAGAAAUCAAAGAUCAGAUUAAGAGCAGCUUUUCUUGUUAGAGUGGCCUUGUCUACACUGUAUUAAAAAAAAAAAAAGUUGUGUUCUUAACUCAAAUUAGCUAAUGAGUUAACAACUCAGGGUAAAAUCCUCGUGAAGACAAGGCAAUUUGUAGUUUUCACACAAAUUAGUAGGUUGACAUCAAGCUUAUGGGGGAUCAUUGGCUUUGACUCAGCCGGCUAACUCAUGAAAACUACAAACUGCAUUGUCUUCACUAGGAUGUUACCUCAAAGUAGCUAAUUUAAAUUAAGGACACACACCUCUCUCUCUCAACAAAGACAAAGCCAAUGAAAUGUUAGCUGGAGUUUCUGCAAGUGGAAUUCUUUGUAUGUAGUUUUGCUGUUGUUUCCAUUUCUGGUCAGAGUAAACACGA
Caretta caretta (loggerhead turtle) is the source of this 10217-nucleotide long non-coding RNA. RefSeq lists it as uncharacterized. Lineage: Eukaryota; Metazoa; Chordata; Testudines; Cheloniidae. The record is from RefSeq and is a predicted model, not a curated record.